RNAcentral lists this transfer RNA (89 nucleotides) under Deltaproteobacteria bacterium. RNAcentral's name for it is "tRNA-Pro". It matches the Rfam family "tRNA". From Rfam's summary of the family: Transfer RNA (tRNA) molecules are approximately 80 nucleotides in length. Their secondary structure includes four short double-helical elements and three loops (D, anti-codon, and T loops). Further hydrogen bonds mediate the characteristic L-shaped molecular structure. tRNAs have two regions of fundamental functional importance: the anti-codon, which is responsible for specific mRNA codon recognition, and the 3' end, to which the tRNAs corresponding amino acid is attached (by aminoacyl-tRNA synthetases). tRNAs cope with the degeneracy of the genetic code in two manners: having more than one tRNA (with a specific anti-codon) for a particular amino acid; and 'wobble' base-pairing, i.e. permitting non-standard base-pairing at the 3rd anti-codon position. Lineage: Bacteria; Pseudomonadati; Myxococcota; Myxococcia. The record is from RNAcentral.
GGGGGAGUGGCGGAAUAAGUAGACGCGAUAGACUUGGACUCUAUUAGUGAGGCUACACUGUGCGGGUGCAAAUCCCGUCUCCCCCACCA